RNAcentral lists this ribosomal RNA (250 nucleotides) under uncultured bacterium. RNAcentral's name for it is "partial 16S ribosomal RNA". It matches the Rfam family "Bacterial small subunit ribosomal RNA", at positions 355 to 598 of the family's 1533-position model. The record is from RNAcentral.
UCGAGAAUUUUUCUCAAUGGGGGAAACCCUGAAGGAGCGACGCCGCGUGGGGGAUGAAUGGCUUCGGCCCGUAAACCCCUGUCAUUCGGGACCAAAUGUUGUCCAUGAACAAUGGGCAGCUUGAUUGUACCGGAAGAGGAAGGGACGGCUAACUCUGUGCCAGCAGCCGCGGUAAUACAGAGGUCCCAAGCGUUGUUCGGAUUUACUGGGCGUAAAGGGUGCGUAGGCGGUGGGGUAAGUUUGAGGUGAA